GACGUCAAACAGUAGGCUGGUCUAAUUUAGUUGUUCAUAUGAAUUAGGCGAGACAAUAUGAACUGGGGUUGUGUAGCUUGUCUGUGAGCGAUAGCAACCUGAGACUUAAAUCAUAGACUGUGCUCGGAGAAGUCUAUAUGGCAACACUUUUGGACAGGGGUUCGACUCCCCUCAUCUCCACCA
This 183-nucleotide transfer-messenger RNA is filed under the name Veillonella sp. RNAcentral describes it as "partial transfer-messenger RNA". It matches the Rfam family "transfer-messenger RNA", at positions 182 to 374 of the family's 374-position model. From Rfam's summary of the family: Bacterial tmRNA, also known as 10Sa RNA or SsrA, is named for its dual tRNA and mRNA-like properties. Lineage: Bacteria; Bacillati; Bacillota; Negativicutes; Veillonellales; Veillonellaceae. The record is from RNAcentral.